Molecule: ribosomal RNA, 627 nt
Filed under: uncultured bacterium
Lineage: Bacteria
Description: bacterial SSU rRNA
Rfam family: Bacterial small subunit ribosomal RNA (bases 1-532)
Source: RNAcentral
CCUACGGGAGGCAGCAGUGAGGAAUAUUGGACAAUGGGCGCAAGCCUGAUCCAGCCAUGCCGCGUGCAGGAAGACGGUCCUAUGGAUUGUAAACUGCUUUUAUACAGGAAGAAACACCUCUACGUGUAGAGACUUGACGGUACUGUAUGAAUAAGCAUCGGCUAACUCCGUGCCAGCAGCCGCGGUAAUACGGAGGAUGCAAGCGUUAUCCGGAAUCAUUGGGUUUAAAGGGUCCGUAGGCGGUUUAAUAAGUCAGUGGUGAAAGCCCAUCGCUCAACGAUGGAACGGCCAUUGAUACUGUUAAACUUGAAUUAUUAGGAAGUAACUAGAAUAUGUAGUGUAGCGGUGAAAUGCUUAGAGAUUACAUGGAAUACCAAUUGCGAAGGCAGGUUACUACUAAUAUAUUGACGCUGAUGGACGAAAGCGUGGGGAGCGAACAGGAUUAGAUACCCUGGUAGUCCACGCCGUAAACGAUGGAUACUAGCUGUUCGGAGCAAUCUGNGUGNGUAGAGAAGAGAGUAAGUAUACCACCGUCGGGAGGUACGGUUCGUCGAAGAAGUAGAACGUACGAAAGAAAGUUAGUACGGACGUAGAGACGUUGACGACGGACGACGACGAGGGAGGAGG